Molecule: ribosomal RNA, 253 nt
Filed under: uncultured bacterium
Lineage: Bacteria
Description: partial 16S ribosomal RNA
Rfam family: Bacterial small subunit ribosomal RNA
Source: RNAcentral
UACGUAGGGGGCAAGCGUUGUCCGGAUUUAUUGGGCGUAAAGAGCUCGUAGGCGGCUUGUCGCGUCGGAUGUGAAAGCCCGGGGCUUAACUCCGGGUCUGCAUUCGAUACGGGCAGGCUAGAGUUCGGUAGGGGAGAUCGGAAUUCCUGGUGUAGCGGUGAAAUGCGUAGAUAUCUGGAGGAACACCGGUGGCGAAGGCGGCAUCCUGGACCAACACUGACACUGAGGAGCGAAAGCCAGGGGAGCAAACGGG